Molecule: transfer RNA, 77 nt
Filed under: bacterium
Lineage: Bacteria
Also listed under: 1 other name
Description: tRNA-Val
Rfam family: tRNA
About the family: Transfer RNA (tRNA) molecules are approximately 80 nucleotides in length. Their secondary structure includes four short double-helical elements and three loops (D, anti-codon, and T loops).
Source: RNAcentral
GGGCGAUUAGCUCAGUUGGUUAGAGCGUCUCGUUUACACCGAGAAGGCCAAAGGUUCGAAUCCUUUAUCGCCCACCA